Molecule: non-coding RNA, 253 nt
Organism: Paramuricea clavata
Lineage: Eukaryota; Metazoa; Cnidaria; Anthozoa; Malacalcyonacea; Plexauridae
Source: the annotation of a GenBank genome assembly
CGACGAUUGUUAUUGAUCUAGUUUUUUUAGUUCCUUUUGUAAAAUCUCUACAUAUUUUUCCUAUCCAAUGAACUUUAGUUUGCAUGGAACUUGGCAUGCCUUGUCCAUCACCCAAGUUAACAGCUUUGCCUUUGAUGAUAAUUACUGUGCAUGAACUGUAAGUAUACGCUCGCAGAAAGUAGAAGACUGUUUUAGCAAAGCGCCCACUUUUCCCUCGUUUUAAAUGUCCCACAACUCUAUCGUGAAGAAGAAC